CCUACGGGAGGCAGCAGUGAGGAAUAUUGGUCAAUGGACGAGAGUCUGAACCAGCCAAGUAGCGUGAAGGAUGACUGCCCUAUGGGUUGUAAACUUCUUUUAUAUGGGAAUAAAAUGUUCCACGUGUGGGAUUUUGUAUGUACCAUAUGAAUAAGGAUCGGCUAACUCCGUGCCAGCAGCCGCGGUAAUACGGAGGAUCCGAGCGUUAUCCGGAUUUAUUGGGUUUAAAGGGAGCGUAGGUGGAUUGUUAAGUCAGUUGUGAAAGUUUGCGGCUCAACCGUAGAAUUGCAGUUGAAACUGGCAGUCUUGAGUACAGUAGAGGUGGGCGGAAUUCGUGGUGUAGCGGUGAAAUGCUUAGAUAUCACGAAGAACUCCGAUUGCGAAGGCAGUUCACUGGACUGCAACUGACGCUGAGGCUCGAAAGUGUGGGUAUCAAACAGGAUUAGAUACCCGGGUAGUC
Molecule: ribosomal RNA, 460 nt
Filed under: uncultured bacterium
Lineage: Bacteria
Description: partial 16S ribosomal RNA
Rfam family: Bacterial small subunit ribosomal RNA
Source: RNAcentral